GUGGCCCCAAGUCAGUCGAGACUCCGACAUG
RNAcentral lists this ribosomal RNA (31 nucleotides) under Zingiber zerumbet (bitter ginger). RNAcentral describes it as "partial 28S ribosomal RNA". Lineage: Eukaryota; Viridiplantae; Streptophyta; Magnoliopsida; Zingiberales; Zingiberaceae. The record is from RNAcentral.